This 347-nucleotide unclassified non-coding RNA is filed under the name soil metagenome. RNAcentral's name for it is "partial contains 5.8S ribosomal RNA, internal transcribed spacer 2, and large subunit ribosomal RNA". The stretch from base 1 to 120 matches the Rfam family "5.8S ribosomal RNA", at positions 35 to 154 of the family's 154-position model. The record is from RNAcentral.
GAUGAAGAACGCAGCGAAAUGCGAUAAGUAAUGUGAAUUGCAGAAUUCAGUGAAUCAUCGAAUCUUUGAACGCACAUUGCGCCCGCCAGUAUUCUGGCGGGCAUGCCUGUCUGAGCGUCAUUUCAACCCUCAUGCCCCUAGGGCGUGGUGUUGGGGAUCGGCGAGCCUUUCUGGCAAGCCGGCCCCGAAAUCUAGUGGCGGUCUCGCUGCAGCCUCCAUUGCGUAGUAGUAAAACCCUCGCAACUGGAACGCGGCGCGGCCAAGCCGUUAAACCCCCAACUUCUGAAUGUUGACCUCGGAUCAGGUAGGAAUACCCGCUGAACUUAAGCAUAUCAAUAAGCGGAGGA